Molecule: unclassified non-coding RNA, 243 nt
Filed under: Hevea brasiliensis (rubber tree)
Lineage: Eukaryota; Viridiplantae; Streptophyta; Magnoliopsida; Malpighiales; Euphorbiaceae
Source: RNAcentral
CUGUAUUUCUAUACUUACUCUGGUUAGAGGCUUGUUAAAACGUUAAAGAGAAAUUGUGAAAAUAUGUGAAGAUUUGUAUUGUGUUUACUAUUGUUGUCAAUAAAUCUUAUGGCAAUUAAACUACUUUAGCGUGCAUGAUCGAAGUAAGAAUGCUGAUUCUGGUGCUUACUCUGGGUGUGUGUAGUUAAAUAAUGAGAAUGGAGUGUAACAAAGAUAAAAGAUAAUUAUCAUAGCACAGUUGAG